RNAcentral lists this ribosomal RNA (209 nucleotides) under uncultured bacterium. RNAcentral's name for it is "partial 16S ribosomal RNA". It matches the Rfam family "Bacterial small subunit ribosomal RNA", at positions 1285 to 1500 of the family's 1533-position model. The record is from RNAcentral.
GUCUCAGUUCGGAUCGGAGUCUGNAACCCGACUCCGUGAAGCUGGAUUCGCUAGUAAUCGCGCAUCAGCCAUGGCGCGGUGAAUACGUUCCCGGGCCUUGUACACACCGCCCGUCAAGCCAUGGAAGCCGGGGGGUGCCUGAAGUGUGCAGCCGCAAGGAGCGCCCUAAGGUAAAACCGGUGACUGGGGCUAAGUCGUAACAAGGUACC